Molecule: ribosomal RNA, 250 nt
Filed under: uncultured soil bacterium
Lineage: Bacteria
Description: partial 16S ribosomal RNA
Rfam family: Bacterial small subunit ribosomal RNA
Source: RNAcentral
AGGACGAACGCUGGCGGCGUGCUUAACACAUGCAAGUCGAGGGCGGUAGCAAUACCGACCGGCGAACGGGUGCGUAACACGUGAGCAACCUGCCAAGGUGAGGGGGAUAGCCGGCCCAACGGCCGGGUAAUACCGCAUACGCUCUAUCCACGGCAUUGUGGACUGAGGAAACCUCCGGGGCACUUUGAGGGGCCCGCGGCCUAUCAGCUAGUUGGCGGGGUAAUGGCCCACCAAGGCAUCGACGGGUAGC